ACAGAAGACCCUACAUAAUCUGACUCUCUGGGUCUUCAUCACCUACUGUUCUCUUUGCUAUUUCUUUCUAGGUGCUUUCCCAACUGCCAUGAAGGCUCUUUCCCAAGAUAUCUCCAUAUAUCUUCUCUCAUUUUACUCAAGUAAUUACUCAUCAGUGAAGCCUCCCCAGCCUCUUCAUUAAAAAUAGCCUUCCUUGUCCAACUGCCUGCCAGCUGGAACAACUCACUCUGGGGACAGUGCCAGGUGAGCAGUAGCAAACAGUAAUGCAGGUAUCCUCAAGCCAACUCAGGAGGGCAGAAACCUCCUGUGGAUAGAAAAACAAAAUCUCACUUGAUCUUGAUUUUUGGUAUGAAUAUAAACUAUGAGAACAGAGUCUCACAAUCAUAAUCUUUUGGGUUUUAAGUAGGAGUGUCAAAAAAGUUACUACAAGAAUAACUGGCUUGCUAGGGCCAAGGGUUCAUGGUGGUAUGGUUUUUAUUUUUUUCCUAGAUGUCAGUUCUUCCUAGCACUAUAAAGGAGAAUUCACAUUAUCUAAUGCCUAAUCUAGACAUUAGAUUAUGUGCCAACUAACAGGGAGCAUGAGCUGGGUUUAGACCAUUGUGAGAUAGGACUAAAUUUGGC
Molecule: non-coding RNA, 621 nt
Filed under: Heterocephalus glaber (naked mole-rat)
Lineage: Eukaryota; Metazoa; Chordata; Mammalia; Rodentia; Bathyergidae
Description: Eukaryotic large subunit ribosomal RNA
Rfam family: Eukaryotic large subunit ribosomal RNA
Source: Rfam by way of RNAcentral